Molecule: ribosomal RNA, 497 nt
Filed under: uncultured bacterium
Lineage: Bacteria
Description: partial 16S ribosomal RNA
Rfam family: Bacterial small subunit ribosomal RNA
Source: RNAcentral
GAUGAACGCUGGCGGCGUGCCUAAUACAUGCAAGUCGAGCGAACAGACGAGGAUCUUGCUCCUCUUACGUUAGCGGCGGACGGGUGAGUAACACGUGGAUAACCUACCUAUAAGACUGGGAUAACUUCGGGAAACCGGAGCUAAUACCGGAUAAUAUAUUGAACCGCAUGGUUCAAUAGUGAAAGACGGUUUUGCUGUCACUUAUUGAUGGAUCCGCGCCGGAUUAGCUAGUUGGUACGGUAACGGCUUACCAAGGCAACGAUGCGUAGCCGACCUGAGAGGGUGAUCGGCCACACUGGAACUGAGACACGGUCCAGACUCCUACGGGAGGCAGCAGUAGGGAAUCUUCCGCAAUGGGCGAAAGCCUGACGGAGCAACGCCGCGUGAGUGAUGAAGGUCUUCGGAUCGUAAAACUCUGUUAGUAGGGAAGAACAAAUGUGUAAGUAACUAUGCACGUCUUGACGGUACCUACUCAGAAAGCAACGGCUAACUACGUG